AAUAAAAGCUGAAUUGGCGUUUCUCUCUGUCUGCCCUCAGGCUGCCAUCCGUAAAGAGCUCAACGAAUUCAAGAGCUCCGAGAUGGAGGUUCACGAAGAAAGCAGGAUCUACACCCGGUUUCAUCGGCCUUAGCUGCUAAUGCUAGCCAGUAAAGCACUUAGACGGAGGAG
Notothenia coriiceps (black rockcod) is the source of this 171-nucleotide long non-coding RNA. RefSeq lists it as uncharacterized. The transcript has 2 exons. The record is from RefSeq and is a predicted model, not a curated record. NCBI's taxonomy places the organism in Eukaryota, Metazoa, Chordata, Actinopteri, Perciformes, Nototheniidae.